UACGAAGGGUGCAAGCGUUACUCGGAAUUACUGGGCGUAAAGCGUGCGUAGGGGGUUCGUUAAGUCUGAUGUGAAAGCCCUGGGCUCAACCUGGGAAUGGCAUUGGAUACUGGCGACCUAGAGUGCGGUAGAGGGGUGUGGAAUUUCCGGUGUAGCAGUGAAAUGCGUAGAUAUCGGGAGGAACAUCUGUGGCGAAGGCGACACCCUGGACCAGCACUGACACUGAGGCACGAAAGCGUGGGGAGCAAACAGG
RNAcentral lists this ribosomal RNA (253 nucleotides) under uncultured bacterium. RNAcentral describes it as "partial 16S ribosomal RNA". It matches the Rfam family "Bacterial small subunit ribosomal RNA", at positions 524 to 776 of the family's 1533-position model. The record is from RNAcentral.